This 253-nucleotide ribosomal RNA is filed under the name uncultured bacterium. RNAcentral's name for it is "partial 16S ribosomal RNA". It matches the Rfam family "Bacterial small subunit ribosomal RNA", at positions 524 to 776 of the family's 1533-position model. The record is from RNAcentral.
UACGGAGGGUGCGAGCGUUGUCCGGAAUCAUUGGGCGUAAAGCGCGCGUAGGCGGUUCGGUAAGUGGGAUGUGAAAGCCCUGGGCUCAACCUGGGAACUGCAUUUCAAACUGCCGAGCUAGAGUGUGGUAGAGGGAGGUAGAAUUUCCUGUGUAGCGGUGAAAUGCGUAGAUAUAGGAAGGAAUACCAGUGGCGAAGGCGGCCUCCUGGAUCAACACUGACGCUGAGGUGCGAAAGCGUGGGGAGCAAACAGG